UAUGAUUUACUUUUGAUUUAGUCAAUAAAUCUAAAGGUAACGAAUACCCCGCUACAGAAAAGUGGCGACUCUGUUGGGGAAAAGUUGCUUCCUAGUGGGUUUAGCCUACUUUUUGCUUUGUUGUAUUGUAUGUUUAUAUUUAUUUGUGACAUAUUUUUAUGCAAAUUUGGGAUGACUGUAUUGUUUGUAAUGUAUGAAUUGCUUGAUAUAUUCAAUUGCUUGUGUGCUUGGUGGUCUCUGGUG
This 243-nucleotide long non-coding RNA is filed under the name Lathyrus oleraceus (garden pea). RNAcentral describes it as "Pisum sativum (pea) long non-coding RNA (PSAT_LNC024411)". Lineage: Eukaryota; Viridiplantae; Streptophyta; Magnoliopsida; Fabales; Fabaceae. The record is from RNAcentral.